UUUUAUGGGCAGGUGUUGGCAUUAUAACAUUAUGUAUAUAACAUUAUAACACGUCUAUUCUUUCCAGACAAGACUGCAUAAAGAGACAAUAAACCCUUGGAGCUGUUUGUGUGGUGUAGACAUGAUGACAUAAAAUGAUCUUGUACGGUUUACUAUGUGAGAUAAGUAAAGAGCUUCCUGCGAGUUCAAGUUGAGUGAGGCACUGAUUACGAAAAAAUGUAAUAAGACUUCCUGUUGGUGGUAAGGAAACCUAGUUUAUGCAAAACCAGCACGGGUUGUCAUUUUACGCACGUCUUCCUCCAAUGAAGCGUACAUUGCGGGACUUAGUGCAGGCAAGAAAGAGGCCGCCAACGUUUUCGACGAAGCAGAAAUAAAAAUUCGCCCUAUUGUCUGCUUGAUUUCGUUGUAUCCCCCAUUCGAUCGACGGGCCUGAUUGAGCUAGGCAAAACAUGCAUGGAUAAAAUUCUUCGAUCUUCACGGCAACAUGACGUUUCCAUACGCCGACCGAUUAUAUUCCACAAUACUCUCAUCCUUCAGUGACAUACAGGACUAAUGAAAGGGUGAAUUAGUUAAGCUUCAGAAGCUGUGCAAAGAUGUAAGUUUAAUGUCGACGGCUUGUAUAAGGCCAACUAAGCUUUCGACAUAGCUUUUCAAAAUUCAAACAAAACAUAGACUGUGCCCUGCCGCUACGCGAAACUAACUCUCGUUGACAUCUAUCGAAAGGAAAAUGCAACGUGACUCAGACCUGUUUCUAAGGAUUGGCCCAACCCACGUCUGCAAUCCGGAAAGGAAACAGGGGUGACUGAAACCUUAGGGAAAUUUGUAAGAAUAGAUAAGUUCUCAUGAUGACAUAGCAGGAUCAACCUAGAACGUACUGUAAAAUUUCUAUUUAGCGUUCAAAACAUUCGUUGGAAAAAAAAGAAGCCAAAGUUGUUGCAUUGUUAAAGUUAACAUUAGGAUUAUGACGUAAUACGGCAUCUCAGGGCUCAUAAACUCUACGGACCUUAAAUGAUCCGGUCGAAGAAAUAGGAAGCAUCAGGGAGCAUGGCUUCCUGACCAACUAGGGGGCUAACGGCAAAACAAUGAACGUGAGACCAAUUACUCUGAGUGGUAGCUCAACAACUUGAACAUCGAAGCAAUUAGAUGUAACGGUGUCAGCCGAACUCUAUGUAACAUUCGUCUGUGUGUAUUCGCGAAAUUACCAUGUAAA
Molecule: long non-coding RNA, 1210 nt
Organism: Varroa destructor (honeybee mite)
Lineage: Eukaryota; Metazoa; Arthropoda; Arachnida; Mesostigmata; Varroidae
Source: RefSeq, a predicted model, not a curated record